UUUUUAUAACACAGUAUUAACUUAAAUUCCCUUUAAAUAUAAGACAAUCCCAUUCAUAUUUUUACAUUUUAUGAUUCUAAAUGCAUGCCAAGUUAUACACUUUACUUAAGAAUUUCAAAUUAACUGACAUGUUUUGAAUUUAUCAUAAACAUUUUUGAUCAGGUAUGGGUAUUUUCCAAUUGUUAAUUUCAGCCAUUUUGGACACAUUUUUUUUAAAAAUUUUAUGUUUUCUUUGUUACCAUCAGAGUAACCUUUCCAUAUAUUUUCAAGGAAAAAAAAUGGUAUUUGUUAGAAAAGAAAAACUUGGGCCAGAAUUUUACAGAGGGAAAUACCCUGAAAUCCCCAAAAAUAAAAAAAUAAGCCGGUCUCAAAAAUAAGCCACCAUUUCACUACUGGCAAAAUGGGCUCAUAAAUUAGCCGCACUAAAAACUAAGCCAUCCAAUUUUUAGCCCACCAUCAUCAGAUGGUGGGCUAUUCAAAUCACUCUGCGUCCGUCCGUCCUUCUGUCCGUUAACAAUUUCUUUUUCGCAUCUCUUCAGAAACUACUGGGGGGAUUUUGACCAAACUUUGUCAGAAUGAUGCAUUGGUACCCUAGUUGUGCCCCUCUGAAAAUCAGACUGGUUCAACAAUUUUUGAGUGAGUUAUGGCCCUUUGUUUAUUUUAAUAAUUUACAUAGAUUUAUAUAGGGAAAUUUUUUGAAAAUCUUCUUAAACAAAACCACAGGGCCUAGGACUUUGAUAUUUGGUAUGUAGCAUCAUCUAGCGGUCAUCUACCAAGAUUGUCCAAAUUCUUCCCUAGGGUCAAAUAUGGCCUCGCCCCGUGGGUCACAUGGUUUAUUUAUAUAGACUUAUAUAGGGAAAAACUUUAAAAAUCUUCUUGUCAUAACCUACAACAUUCAGAUUUGGACCUUAUGUAUAGUUUUAUUGGCUAGAUGAACCUUGACAUGAGUUGACCUUGAUCUUGACCUAGUGACCUACUUUCACAUUUCUGUAGCUACAGCCUUCAAAUUUGGACCACUUGCAUAGGUUUUUAUACCGAAAUAAUCUUUUGUGUUCCAAAUGAAAUUUGACCUUGAUUUUGACCUAGUGACCUACUUUCAUAUUUCUCAAGCUACAGCCUUCAAAUUUGGACCAUGUGCAUAGUUUUGUGUACUGAAAUGAACUUUGACCUUGAGAUUGACCUAGUGACCUACUUUUACAUUUCUGUAGCUACAGCCUUCAGAUUUGGACCACAUGCAUAGGCUUGUGUACAGAAAUAAACUUUGACCUUGACAUUGACCUAGUGACCUACUUUCACAUUUUUGAAGGUACAGGCUUCAAAUUUGGACCACUUGUAUAGUUCUGUGUUCCGAACUGAAAUUUGACUUUGAUUUUGACCUAGUGACCUACUUUCACAAUUCUUAAGUUACAGCUGUCAAAUUUGGAACACAUGCAUAGGCUUGUGUACAGAAAUGAACUUUGACCUUGACAUUGACCUAGUGACCUACUUUCACAUUUUUGAAGCUACAGGCUUCAAAUUUGGACCACUUGCAUACAGUCGACAUCGUACUUGCGACCACCUCUAUUAAGCGAUUUUUUUAUUAAACGACCGGUCAAAAUCCCUCCCGAACGUUUUCAGUACAUAAAUUUAUUCCAUUAAACGGCUUUUUUAUUAAACGACCAGCGACCACUUUAAUGAAGUCCCGACAGGAAAAAUAUUUAAACAAAAGUAUCUAUUAAGCAACCUGGUACCAAAUUCCUGCCGGGUAUUUCUUCACCUGUGUAAUUAGCGAGUACAUUUUACACCUGUCUGGAUGCAAUUAACCUUUGUAACAGUCGAACUGACGAACAAUCAAGUUAUAAUUUUCAGUUUGUGAAAUUUAUAUACAUAUAUGUAUGCUCAUGAUAUAUACAGUUAUAUUAACAGUUAAAAAUAUAUUUUCUCUUCACCUGGCUGAAAUUCAUUAAGAGACCUCUCCAUUAAGAGACCACUUUUUAGCAGUCCCUCGGGCGGUCUCUUAAUACAAUGUCGACUGUAGUUUGUGUUCUGAAUUGAAAUUUGACCUUGAUUUUUAUCUAUUACCAACAUUUCUCUAGCUACAGCCUUCAAAUUUGAAGCACAUGCAUAGUUUUGUGUACAGAAAUUAACUUUGACCUUGAAAUUGAUCCUACUUUCACAUUUCUUUAGCUACAGCUUCAAAUUUGGACCACAUGCACAGUUUUGUGUACCAAAAUGAACUUUCACCUUGAUUUUGACCUUGAUCUAUAGUCUUGAAAUUUGGAACAUUCAAAAAUGGCUCAGUGGUGGGCGCCAAGAUCACUCUGUGAACUCUUGUUUGUAUCUGUAAUAGUAUCAAUGACUUAGUUAGGACACCAUGUAAGAUAGCAGAAGUUGCCAACGUGUACAUAGCAGAUUAAAACUUUAAAAGCAAUAAAAAUUAUUGUUGGAAACACUUCUUAUAUAUGUACUGAAAAAUUCGUCGGACUCAAAAAUAAGCUGGUCUCGAUAAUAAGCCACCAAAUCAUUAUGAAAAUUUAAAAUAAGCCGUAUCUUAUUUUAGGGAUUUCAGGGUAUACAUUUUUAUUAUUGAACUUUUGCAAUUAAAGGUAUAUCAGAAACUUAAAAAGGACCUAAAUACCAUUCUAAGACCUUUAAAAUAAUAUACUAGUAUAACUUGAUCUUGCAAAUUAAAGCCCUGUUAUGGAGCGAAUCAAACAGUACAUUUGUAGAUUUUUUUGAAAGUACAGAAAAAGGGGAAAGGAAGAGCAGUUUGACAAGGACACGUAUUCAUCAAUGUGUUAAAAUUUAGAGACUUAGACUUUAAAAUGGUAAAUUUUUGUAAGUUUCUGCCAUUCCUAGCACCUGUUACAAUAAACUUAAAUAUAACUUCCAAUGUGACAGACAGCUCUACAAAUUCAUAGCUCUAUAUAUUGACUGUGGAAAUAGUUGUUGCAAAAUGAAUACAUUGCGUUCAUAAAUUCAGACUCUGCACUUUGAUGAUUACUGUCCUUGUACAAAAGGCUGUCUCCAGCUAAAACCUUGCUUUGAAAGAGCACUCAUGAUGUCCAAAGCCAGAUUACAUUUAUACAGUUUUAAAUGUUAUUAGUAAUAACCUAUUACUAGUAAUGUAGACCACUUUUUUCCAAUGUAUUGUCUUUAUAAAUGUAUUUAGAGAUUUCAUAAAAAAAUGAGAAAGAAAUUAAAAGCAUGUGCAAUUUCA
Long non-coding RNA from Mercenaria mercenaria, 3199 nucleotides. RefSeq lists it as uncharacterized. The transcript is spliced from 2 exons. The record is from RefSeq and is a predicted model, not a curated record. NCBI's taxonomy places the organism in Eukaryota, Metazoa, Mollusca, Bivalvia, Venerida, Veneridae.